Non-coding RNA from Sebastes umbrosus (honeycomb rockfish), 73 nucleotides. Lineage: Eukaryota; Metazoa; Chordata; Actinopteri; Perciformes; Sebastidae. The record is from the annotation of a RefSeq genome assembly.
GACUCUGUGGCACAAUGGGCAGCGCAUUGCACUUCUAAUUCAAAGGUUGUGGGUUCGAGUCCCACCAGAGUCA